CUGAAAACAGAUGCGACUAUGACACCACCGCUGCUACUAGCCAGAGCCACCCUUCAUCUCCGGCACCACCUCCACACAACCGCCGUCUGUUCACUUGUACGGCGACCCUGCCACACCUCCACAGCUGCGGAGUCUCCUCGGCCGAUCAGAAAGACACCUUCACACGAUGACAACAAAACCUCCCUAUUAAACGCAAAACGGCAUCCGCCAAAGGACCCCAGAUGGGAGAAUGAUCCUGAUUAUUGCAAAUGGAAGGAUAAAGAAGCCGAAAUCUUUAUGGAUAUUGACCCCACAACUCUCCAAAUCAAACAUAUCCUCCACUCCGACAGCAAUAAACUCAUAUCCGCAUUGUGCAACACCAUUGGGAGGGUCAAAAUUGCUUUCACAUAUUACGGAGUAUGGAUGUAUGGAACGAGCACCUCCUAAGGACAGCGUUUCGGUACAACGUUUUCCAUAUAUCACUCUUUAUUACGACUUACCUUGUAAACUUAUUUGUAGGACUGUCAAUACAUUCAAUCGGUAAAACGCAUCGAGUGAUCCUCACGCACACCGAUGAAAGCCGAUAAAGCGCCAUCACAUAUGAACACGUAAGUUGCCAUACGCGCAUGCUCCUUUACAUAUGAGCGAGCACACAUGCGCCGGCUGGCGCAUGCUCCUCUACAUACGAGCACGUAAGUCGCCGGCAGGCGCAUGCUACUCUACAUACUAGUGAGCACACUUGCGUCGGCUGGCGCAUGCUCCUCUACAUACGAGCACGUAAGUCGCCGGCUGGCGCUUGCUCCUCUACAUACGAGCACAUAAGUCGCCGGCAGACGCAUGCUCCUCUAUAUACGAGCGAGCAACACAUGCGUCGGCUGGCGAAUGCUUCUCUACAUACGAGCGAGCACACAUGCGCCGGCUGGCGCAUGCUCCUCUACAUACGAGCACGUAAGUUGCCGGCAGAGGCAUGCUCCCCUACAUACGAGCGAGCACAUAUGCGCCGGCUGGCGCAUGCUUCUCUACAUACGAGCACGUAAGUCGCCGGCAGGUGCAUUUUCCCAUACAUACGAGCGAACACACAUGCGCCGACUGGCGCAUGCUCCUCUACAUACGCGCAAUCGUGGUAAGCUCAUGAAAGUGCACCAGUACAAAUGACAGUAACCUGCAGCCGAUCAAUGCGUUCCAGGCCCGGGACCUAUCCGCAUACGCGCAAUUGAUAAGCUUAUGAAAGCGUACCAGUACAAAUGACAUUAACCUGCAGCCGAUCAAUGCGCGCCAGACUCUACCCAACCAAUUCCCAUGAUGAAUAGUUGUAUGCUAUUCACUAUUCCAUUAUCUCUACUCACAGCUAAAGACGGACGCAACAAGCGUGGCCAACAACUUUCCCACACCCGGGCGACAGGUAAACCUAAAACUCAAUCUUCACUUCCGAGCACUCCUAACAAGUCUAGUACUCGUCUCACGCUUGCACGCGAGAACAUCACUAGACUGGGGGACAUGAUGGGGUAUGGUAUUGGACCCGACCCGAAUGACCGGACAUUUCUAUUACUUAUUGCAUUUUAUUGUAAUGUAUAUUAUUGUUGUUUACUAACCCAAAGCAAGGCCCAUCGCGAUGUAGUUUAUGGUACAAUGGGUUGGGGACUUGUAGAGAUAACCUCUAACUGGGCCUGGCCCAUUGAGGUUAGGGGAGGCCCAUGUCUCCUUUAUAAAGAGGUGUAAACCUCAUUAUUAGGGCACAAGAUAUGGAGCCGCCACACUUUUUGUAGCUGGAAAUAGGGGAUUCUUCCCCUACCGGCCAUCUUUACAUCCCCACUUUCCUCUCUUCUCCGUUGCAGAUCUAGGUUCAAGAGGAAGAACAUGGUGUGAUUCUCCAUCCUCUCAGAGAAAGCGGUUCCAAUCAUCUUGGCGAUGAUUCCGUGUUUCUUCAGGGUUUUCGGAGCUGUGGGCCCCAGCGGGAGCAGCCUCUACAUCCCAACAGAGGUAUAUGGAUGGAGAGCAACUUACAUCAACCGACCAGAAAAUGGUAGUAGAUAAGCUUCUUGCUUAUCAUCCUCACUCCGAAGACAAAAUUGGUUGUGGCAUUGAUUCUAUCAUGGUUGACCGACAUCCACAGUUUCAGAAAUUCAAGAUGUCUGUUUGUUGUUCGAACGGAUGGUGUAUGGAUUGAUUUUUCCUACCAGAAGUGCAUUCGAGCUUACAUUCGACAGAAAUACCCGUCUUAUGCAGAAAAAUUUAUCAAUCGACAUUACAAACGCAGUAGUAGUUGAUCACCCAAAUUCACUGACCGACAGACCAUUGGGUUCGAACCAUGAGACGCCGUCAUGGACUUUGGUUAGCCGACCAACAAGCCCGGUGGUGGUAGAUUCACACACAUUUUGUCAAUGGUGGUAGAUUUAGUAGUUGAAAUGGGAACAAUUUAGGGAGGAAAAUGAUUGAAGUUAAAGAUUUAAUUUUGUUGACUUGUAUUGAUGUUUGUUUGGCUUUAUGUGAUAAGUUAAUGUUUUCCUGUUUUGGGUUUUUCUAUGCAUUGGUUGGAAAUGUAAAUAAAGGAGUAUUGGACUGGUGUUUUAGGAGGCAGUUGGCCCUAAAAGACAAAUAUUUAGUGCUAUUUUUGCA
RNA transcript from Helianthus annuus (common sunflower), 2595 nucleotides. It is a transcript of the gene named DNA-directed RNA polymerase V subunit 1, with no coding region annotated. The transcript has 5 exons. The record is from RefSeq and is a predicted model, not a curated record. NCBI's taxonomy places the organism in Eukaryota, Viridiplantae, Streptophyta, Magnoliopsida, Asterales, Asteraceae.